GAUGAACGCUGGCGGCGUGCCUAAUACAUGCAAGUCGAGCGAACGGACGAGAAGCUUGCUUCUCUGAUGUUAGCGGCGGACGGGUGAGUAACACGUGGAUAACCUACCUAUAAGACUGGGAUAACUUCGGGAAACCGGAGCUAAUACCGGAUAAUAUUUUGAACCGCAUGGUUCAAAAGUGAAAGACGGUCUUGCUGUCACUUAUAGAUGGAUCCGCGCUGCAUUAGCUAGUUGGUAAGGUAACGGCUUACCAAGGCAACGAUUCAUAGCCGACCUGAGAGGGUGAUCGGCCACACUGGAACUGAGACACGGUCCAGACUCCUACGGGAGGCAGCAGUAGGGAAUCUUCCGCAAUGGGCGAAAGCCUGACGGAGCAACGCCGCGUGAGUGAUGAAGGUCUUCGGAUCGUAAAACUCUGUUAUUAGGGAAGAACAUAUGUGUAAGUAACUGUGCACAUCUUGACGGUACCUAAUCAGAAAGCCACGGCUAACUACGUG
RNAcentral lists this ribosomal RNA (497 nucleotides) under uncultured bacterium. RNAcentral's name for it is "partial 16S ribosomal RNA". It matches the Rfam family "Bacterial small subunit ribosomal RNA", at positions 28 to 507 of the family's 1533-position model. The record is from RNAcentral.